UGUAUGUAUGUGUAGCUACUGUGAAUUAUCAUUGUUAGUAAGAUUUAUUCGGUUACAUGGUAAUGAUUACGUGUUAAGGUUACGGGUUUAUAAAUUAUAGGAAUAUUAGUGAGAAUGAUUAUAUUAUUUUUUUAAGUUUUGAAUUAAAAUGGGAAUUGCGUUUACGAUUUAUAUUAAUUUUUUGGUUUAUGAGAUUGAAAUAUUUGAAGAUUGAUUUUAGAGGGGUGAGAGAAUUUAUUAUUUUUU
This is a long non-coding RNA of Octopus sinensis (East Asian common octopus), 246 nucleotides long. RefSeq lists it as uncharacterized. NCBI's taxonomy places the organism in Eukaryota, Metazoa, Mollusca, Cephalopoda, Octopoda, Octopodidae. The transcript has 3 exons. The record is from RefSeq and is a predicted model, not a curated record.